AACUAUAACGGUCCUAAGGUAGCGAAAUUCCUUGUCAGGUAAGUUCUGACCCGCAUGAAAGGCGUAAUGAUUUGGGCACUGUCUCAACAGCCCGCCCGGCGAAAUUGUAGUACCGGUGAAGAUGCCGGUUACCCGCGACAAGACGGAAAGACCCCAUGGAGCUUUACUGUAGCCUAAUAUUGGGUUUCGAUGUUGCAUGCACAGGAUAGAUGGGACUCUGGGAAGUGAUCGCUUUGGCGGUCAUGGAGAGGACGUUGGGAUACCAUCCUUGCGAUAUUGGAAUUCUAACCUGCGGCUCUGAAUCGAGUCGGGGGACAUUGUUAGGUGGGCAGUUUGACUGGGGCGGUCGCCUCCUAAAGAGUAACGGAGGCGUUCAAAGGUUCGCUCAGCUUGAACGGAAAUCAAGCAAAAGAGUGCAAACGCAGAAGCGAGCCUAACUGCGAGACUGACGGGUCGAGCAGUAACGAAAGUUGGAGUUAGUGAUCCGGUGGUAUGUGAGUGGAAAUGCCAUCGCUCAACGGAUAAAAGCUACCCUGGGGAUAACAGGCUGAUCUCCCCCAAGAGUCCACAUCGACGGGGAGGUUUGGCACCUCGAUGUCGGCUCAUCGCAUCCUGGGGCUGAAUUCGGUCCCAAGGGUUUGGCUGUUCGCCAAUUAAAGCGGUACGCGAGCUGGGUUCAGAACGUCGUGAGACAGUUCGGUCCCUAUCUGUCGUGGGCGUAGGAUAUUUGCAAGGAGCUGUCCCUAGUACGAGAGGACCGGGAUGGACGCACCUCUGGUGCACCAGUUGUCACGCCAGUGGCACAGCUGGGCAGCUAUGUGCGGAACGGAUAAACGCUGAAAGCAUCUAAGCGUGAAGCCGCCCUUAAGAUAAGAUCUCCUUUAAGACCCCUUGUAGACUACGAGGUUGAUAGGUCUGAUGUGUAAGCAUGGUGACAUGUUUAGCUUGCAGAUACUAAUCGGUCGUUCGCUUUUCCUU
This 978-nucleotide ribosomal RNA is filed under the name human gut metagenome. RNAcentral's name for it is "bacterial LSU rRNA". It matches the Rfam family "Bacterial large subunit ribosomal RNA", at positions 1938 to 2925 of the family's 2925-position model. The record is from RNAcentral.